Molecule: small nucleolar RNA, 211 nt
Filed under: Sorex araneus (European shrew)
Lineage: Eukaryota; Metazoa; Chordata; Mammalia; Eulipotyphla; Soricidae
Description: Small nucleolar RNA U3 (ENSSARG00000016451.1)
Rfam family: Small nucleolar RNA U3
About the family: Small nucleolar RNAs (snoRNAs) are involved in the processing and modification of rRNA in the nucleolus. There are two main classes of snoRNAs: the box C/D class, and the box H/ACA class. U3 snoRNA is a member of the box C/D class.
Source: RNAcentral
AAGACCAUACUUACAAGGAUCGUUUUUAUACUUAGUUCCUAGAGAAGUUUCUCUGAUCGUGUAGAGCACCCAAAACCAUGAGAUAGAUCCAGAGCAUCCUAUCCUUAGCGUGAACCGGUACAACGUGUUACUUCUGCAACUGCCCUUUGCCACUGAGGAUCAUUCUUCUCUUCCGUGGAAGAAGUAGAGGGAGAGAAUACAGUCUGUGUAG